Molecule: ribosomal RNA, 449 nt
Filed under: uncultured bacterium
Lineage: Bacteria
Description: partial 16S ribosomal RNA
Rfam family: Bacterial small subunit ribosomal RNA
Source: RNAcentral
AACGAACGCUGGCGGCAGGCUUAACACAUGCAAGUCGAACGCAUCCUUCGGGGUGAGUGGCAGACGGGUGAGUAACGCGUGGGAACGUGCCCUUCAGUUCGGGAUAACCCAGGGAAACUUGGGCUAAUACCGGAUACGUGCGAGAGCAGAAAGAUUUAUCGCUGAAGGAUCGGCCCGCGUCUGAUUAGCUAGUUGGUGGGGUAAUGGCCCACCAAGGCGACGAUCAGUAGCUGGUCUGAGAGGAUGAUCAGCCACACUGGGACUGAGACACGGCCCAGACUCCUACGGGAGGCAGCAGUGGGGAAUAUUGGACAAUGGGCGCAAGCCUGAUCCAGCCAUGCCGCGUGAGUGAUGAAGGCCUUAGGGCUGUAAAGCUCUUUCAGUGGGGACGAUAAUGACGGUACCCGCAGAAGAAGCCCCGGCUAACUUCGUGCCAGCAGCCGCAGUAA